CUGCACUCGUAUUGUUGGCUACUCUUAUCUAUGAUAGUGUGGCCUCGAACAUGGGUGCACAAACUAAUAGCUGUUAAGUCAGCAGCGGCCAGACAACCGUAGAGAUGGAUCCACAGGUGAAUGGCAUUUGAUGCUGCUUGCCUACUGAUUCCAUCUUACAUUC
Non-coding RNA from Punica granatum (pomegranate), 163 nucleotides. The record is from Rfam. NCBI's taxonomy places the organism in Eukaryota, Viridiplantae, Streptophyta, Magnoliopsida, Myrtales, Lythraceae.